UGGGGGAUACUGCACAAUGGGGGAAACCCUGAUGCAGCGACGCCGCGUGUAGGAAGACGGUCCUCUGGAUUGUAAACUACUGUCCCCAGGGACGAAGAUGACGGUACCUGGGGAGGAAGCUCCGGCUAACUACGUGCCAGCAGCCGCGGUAAUACGUAGGGAGCGAGCGUUGUCCGGAAUUACUGGGUGUAAAGGGAGCGUAGGCGGGGAUGCAAGUUGGGU
This 222-nucleotide ribosomal RNA is filed under the name uncultured bacterium. RNAcentral's name for it is "partial 16S ribosomal RNA". It matches the Rfam family "Bacterial small subunit ribosomal RNA", at positions 355 to 593 of the family's 1533-position model. The record is from RNAcentral.